RNAcentral lists this long non-coding RNA (232 nucleotides) under Olea europaea subsp. europaea. The record is from RNAcentral. Lineage: Eukaryota; Viridiplantae; Streptophyta; Magnoliopsida; Lamiales; Oleaceae.
CAAAAGACGAAAACAUCGGAAUGUGUUGAUACCGCUAGCUUACCACUAUCGUAAAGACGAGAAACUAUUGGUCAUUGAUUUCUUCACUAAACAUUUUUGUUUCACAUGUUUACCAGUUCUAUCAGAGAUUUGAUUGAAGAAGAAUAUGCAGGAGUUGUCUGCAAAGCUUGUCGUAUUAUUGUUGCAUCGUACUUUUGGUUGUUCUGGUUGUUAUUGCAAAAAUAUUGUGCAU